GGCACUGUGGCGAAAGUGGUAUACGCGCUGGUCUUAAGCGCCCUGAGUUCAGGGUCCUAAGCCUCCCAGUUCCUCAGGGAAUGCGGGUUCAAGUCCCGUCUGUGCCC
Molecule: non-coding RNA, 107 nt
Organism: Apiotrichum porosum
Lineage: Eukaryota; Fungi; Basidiomycota; Tremellomycetes; Trichosporonales; Trichosporonaceae
Source: the annotation of a RefSeq genome assembly